AAUAAGAUACAGAAGAGGUAAGUCGUAACAUGGUUCAACGGCCGCGGUAUCCUAACCGUGCGAAGGUAGCGUAAUCACUUGUUCUCUAAAUCAGGACUAGUAUGAACGGCACCACGAGGGUUAUACUGUCUCCUUUUUCUAAUUAGUGAACUUAAUCUUCCCGUGAAGAAGCGGGAAUGAGCUUAUAAGACGAGAAGACCCUAUGGAGCUUUAAACAAUUUAGCAUUUGCACUAUCUUAAUAUUAAAUUAUUAGACCCUGCAUAAUGACUAGAAGUUUUAGGUUGGGGUGACCACGGAGUAAAACUCAUCCUCCACGAUGAAGGAACUAAUUCUUAACUAAGAAACACACUAAGUAUCAACACACUGACAUUUAUUGACCCAAUAUACUUGAUCAACGAACCAAGUUACCCUAGGGAUAACAGCGCAAUCCAUUUUAAGAGCUCCUAUCGCCAAAUGGGUUUACGACCUCGAUGUUGGAUCAGGAUAUCCCAGUGGUGCAGCCGCUACCGUUCGUAAUAAUCUUUAUAGUUAUACCAAUUCUAAUCGGGGAUUUGGAA
RNAcentral lists this ribosomal RNA (558 nucleotides) under Amazophrynella aff. vote sp. 1 RRR-2018. Its description in RNAcentral is "partial 16S ribosomal RNA". It matches the Rfam family "Bacterial large subunit ribosomal RNA", at positions 1891 to 2610 of the family's 2925-position model. Lineage: Eukaryota; Metazoa; Chordata; Amphibia; Anura; Bufonidae. The record is from RNAcentral.